GACCAGACUCCUACGGGAGGCAGCAGUGGGGAAUAUUGGGCAAUGGGCGCAAGCCUGACCCAGCAACGCCGCGUGAAGGAAGAAGGCUUUCGGGUUGUAAACUUCUUUUAUGAGGGACGAAACAAAUGACGGUACCUCAUGAAUAAGCUCCGGCUAACUACGUGCCAGCAGCCGCGGUAAUACGUAGGGAGCAAGCGUUAUCCGGAAUUAUUGGGUGUAAAGGGUGCGUAGACGGGACAGCAAGUUAGUUGUGAAAGCCCUCGGCUUAACUGAGGAACUGCAACUAAAACUAUUGUUCUUGAGUGCAGGAGAGGAAAGCGGAAUUCCUAGUGUAGCGGUGAAAUGCGUAGAUAUUAGGAGGAACACCAGUGGCGAAGGCGGCCUGCUGGACGACAACUGACGCUGAGGCGCGAAAGCGUGGGGAGCAAACAGGAUUAGAUACCCGGGUAAG
RNAcentral lists this ribosomal RNA (451 nucleotides) under uncultured bacterium. RNAcentral describes it as "bacterial SSU rRNA". It matches the Rfam family "Bacterial small subunit ribosomal RNA", at positions 329 to 793 of the family's 1533-position model. The record is from RNAcentral.